This is a long non-coding RNA of Leopardus geoffroyi (Geoffroy's cat), 788 nucleotides long. RefSeq lists it as uncharacterized. The record is from RefSeq and is a predicted model, not a curated record. The transcript is spliced from 3 exons. NCBI's taxonomy places the organism in Eukaryota, Metazoa, Chordata, Mammalia, Carnivora, Felidae.
UCAAGAAUUUCCCCUUUAAUCAAUGAUAUCAAGUGAUAAAGAGCCCAAUACCCACAACUUUGUAAGUACUCCAUAAAUAUUAAAUGCUCCUUUCAAAGUCCACAUCUACUCCUCUUCCUACAAGAAGCUUCUCCUCCUCAAUCCAAUCUGCUUCUCUUCUGUAAUGGCUAUUGGACAUCUAGUUUAGGUUAUCUUUUAUUGUUAUCUUGUAACCUUCACCUCAUUGUAACCCUCAAGCACAGGCUAUCAGAGCUCUGUGUUUCCAUCAGUAUGUAUAGCAUCCUGUCCCAUAGAUAGUAAGAGCUUAAUCCCUCACAUUGAUGAUACUGUGGCAUCACCAGAAUGUGGUCCUUAGCUCCAAACAUGCUUACAUCACUGGCUCACCUUUUAACCACCAUGCAGCAAAAUUCCAGAAAUGCAAGACUUUUAGAUGAAGAAAGGGAUAAGAGGAGGAAGGUGAACAUGUAUUUAUUGGCUACCUUCUUAUACAAGGUCUGCAGACCUUCUGUUAUCAAUGAGACACCAAACUCCCAAGAAACAAAAAUGGCACCGUGCCUUGCCAUUUAACUUGCAUAUGUCUCUUAUCAUGUUCCAACUCUGACAUAACCACUGAGGGGGUGAAUGCAUAGGAAUGCGUGCAGAACCAGACCCAGUGAGAGAAGCAGCAAGUGAUGCUGAGUAGAAGAGAGAAAGAAGGGGUGCCCCCCAGGGCCCAUACCUGUCUAGGGCCAUGGUACUGCUUUAAAGGUAUUUGUAAUACAUGUAAACUAAAAUGCCGACUUCAUGCU